Molecule: ribosomal RNA, 459 nt
Filed under: uncultured bacterium
Lineage: Bacteria
Description: partial 16S ribosomal RNA
Rfam family: Bacterial small subunit ribosomal RNA
Source: RNAcentral
CCUACGGGAGGCAGCAGUGAGGAAUAUUGGUCAAUGGUCGGGAGACUGAACCAGCCAAGCCGCGUGAGGGAGGAAGGUACAGAGUAUCGUAAACCUCUUUUGUCAGGGAACAAAGGCGGGGACGUGUCCCCGGAUGAGUGUACCUGAAGAAAAAGCAUCGGCUAACUCCGUGCCAGCAGCCGCGGUAAUACGGAGGCUGCGAGCGUUAUCCGGCUUUAUUGGGUUUAAAGGGUGCGCAGGCGGUCUGUUAAGUCAGCGGUAAAAGCCCGGGGCUCAACCCCGGCCCGCCGUUGAAACUGGCAGUCUCGAGUUGGAGAGAAGUAUGCGGAAUGCGCGGGGUAGCGGUGAAAUGCAUAGAUAUCGCGCAGAACUCCGAUUGCGAAGGCAGCAUGCCGGCUCCACACUGACGCUGAGGCACGAAAGCGUGGGUAUCGAACAGGAUUAGAUACCCUAGUAGUC